Molecule: ribosomal RNA, 449 nt
Filed under: uncultured bacterium
Lineage: Bacteria
Description: partial 16S ribosomal RNA
Rfam family: Bacterial small subunit ribosomal RNA
Source: RNAcentral
AACGAACGCUGGCGGCAUGCCUAACACAUGCAAGUCGAACGAGCUCUUCGGGUCUAGUGGCGCACGGGUGCGUAACGCGUGGGAAUCUGCCCUUUGGUUCGGAAUAACAGUUGGAAACGACUGCUAAUACCGGAUGAUGACGAAAGUCCAAAGAUUUAUCGCCAGAGGAUGAGCCCGCGUAGGAUUAGCUAUUUGGUGUGGUAAAGGCGCACUAAGGCGACGAUCCUCAGCUGGUCUGAGAGGAGGAUCAGCCACACUGGGACUGAGACGCGGCCCAAAACCAUACGGGGUGCAGCAGGGGGGAGUGUUGGACAGUGGGCGAAAGCCUGAUCCGGCAAUGCCGAGUGAGUGAUGAUGGCAUUAGGGUUGUAAAGCUCUUUUACCCGGGAUGAUAAUGACAGUACCGGGAGAAUAAGCUCCGACUAACUCCGUGCCAGCCGCCGCGGUAA